AUCCUACGGGAGGCAGCAGUAGGGAAUCUUCCGCAAUGGGCGAAAGCCUGACGGAGCAACGCCGCGUGAGUGAUGAAGGUCUUCGGAUCGUAAAACUCUGUUAUUAGGGAAGAACAAAUGUGUAAGUAACUAUGCACGUCUUGACGGUACCUAAUCAGAAAGCCACGGCUAACUACGUGCCAGCAGCCGCGGUAAUACGUAGGUGGCAAGCGUUAUCCGGAAUUAUUGGGCGUAAAGCGCGCGUAGGCGGUUUCUUAAGUCUGAUGUGAAAGCCCACGGCUCAACCGUGGAGGGUCAUUGGAAACUGGGAAACUUGAGUGCAGAAGAGGAAAGUGGAAUUCCAUGUGUAGCGGUGAAAUGCGCAGAGAUAUGGAGGAACACCAGUGGCGAAGGCGACUUUCUGGUCUGUAACUGACGCUGAUGUGCGAAAGCGUGGGGAUCAAACAGGAUUAGAUACCCUGGUAGUCCACGCCGUAAACGAUGAGUGCUAAGUGUUAGGGGGUUUCCGCCCCUUAGUGCUGCAGCUAACGCAUUAAGCACUCCGCCUGGGGAGUACGAC
Molecule: ribosomal RNA, 559 nt
Filed under: Staphylococcus saprophyticus
Lineage: Bacteria; Bacillati; Bacillota; Bacilli; Caryophanales; Staphylococcaceae
Description: bacterial SSU rRNA
Rfam family: Bacterial small subunit ribosomal RNA
Source: RNAcentral